Molecule: ribosomal RNA, 484 nt
Filed under: uncultured bacterium
Lineage: Bacteria
Description: partial 16S ribosomal RNA
Rfam family: Bacterial small subunit ribosomal RNA
Source: RNAcentral
AUUGAACGCUGGCGGCAGGCCUAACACAUGCAAGUCGAGCGGAUGAAGGGAGCUUGCUCCUGGAUUCAGCGGCGGACGGGUGAGUAAUGCCUAGGAAUCUGCCUGGUAGUGGGGGAUAACGUCCGGAAACGGGCGCUAAUACCGCAUACGUCCUGAGGGAGAAAGUGGGGGAUCUUCGGACCUCACGCUAUCAGAUGAGCCUAGGUCGGAUUAGCUAGUUGGUGGGGUAAAGGCCUACCAAGGCGACGAUCCGUAACUGGUCUGAGAGGAUGAUCAGUCACACUGGAACUGAGCCACGGUCCAGACUCCUACGGGAGGCAGCAGUGGGGAAUAUUGGACAAUGGGCGCAAGCCUGAUCCAGCCAUGCCGCGUGUGUGAAGAAGGUCUUCGGAUUGUAAAGCACUUUAAGUUGGGAGGAAGGGCAGUAAGUUAAUACCUUGCUGUUUUGACGUUACCCACAGAAUAAGCACCGGCUAACUUCGUG